Molecule: ribosomal RNA, 460 nt
Filed under: uncultured bacterium
Lineage: Bacteria
Description: partial 16S ribosomal RNA
Rfam family: Bacterial small subunit ribosomal RNA
Source: RNAcentral
CCUACGGGGGGCAGCAGUGAGGAAUCUUCGUCAAUGGACGCAAGUCUGAACCAGCCACGCCGCGUGCAGGAAGACGGCUCUAUGAGUUGUAAACUGCUUUUGUACGAGGGUAAACGCAGAUACGCGGAUCUGUCUGAAAGUAUCGUACGAAUAAGGAUCGGCUAACUCCGUGCCAGCAGCCGCGGUAAUACGGAGGAUUCAAGCGUUAUCCGGAUUUAUUGGGUUUAAAGGGUGCGUAGGCGGUCGGAUAAGUUAGAGGUGAAAGCCCGAGGCUUAACUUCGGGAUUGCCUCUGAUACUGUUCGGCUAGAGAGUAGGUGCGGUAGGCGGAAUGUAUGGUGUAGCGGUGAAAUGCUUAGAGAUAAUGCAGAACACCGAUUGCGAAGGCAGCUUACCAAGCUACUUCUGACGUUGAGGCACGAAAGCGUGGGGAGCAAACAGGAUUAGAUACCCUUGUAGUC